AGCAGCCGCCGCGGGAAUACGGAGGGUGCAAGCGUUAAUCGGAAUUACUGGGCGUAAAGCGCACGCAGGCGGUCUGUCAAGUCAGAUGUGAAAUCCCCGGGCUUAACCUGGGAACUGCAUUUGAAACUGGCAGGCUAGAGUCUUGUAGAGGGGGGUAGAAUUCCAGGUGUAGCGGUGAAAUGCGUAGAGAUCUGGAGGAAUACCGGUGGCGAAGGCGGCCCCCUGGACAAAGACUGACGCUCAGGUGCGAAAGCGUGGGGAGCAAACAGGAUUAGAUACCCGAGUAGUCCCUGUCUCUUAUAC
Molecule: ribosomal RNA, 303 nt
Filed under: uncultured bacterium
Lineage: Bacteria
Description: partial 16S ribosomal RNA
Rfam family: Bacterial small subunit ribosomal RNA
Source: RNAcentral